RNAcentral lists this ribosomal RNA (988 nucleotides) under human gut metagenome. RNAcentral's name for it is "bacterial LSU rRNA". It matches the Rfam family "Bacterial large subunit ribosomal RNA", at positions 1938 to 2925 of the family's 2925-position model. The record is from RNAcentral.
AACUAUAACGGUCCUAAGGUAGCGAAAUUCCUUGUCGGGUAAGUUCCGACCCGCACGAAAGGCGUAAUGAUUUGGGCACUGUCUCAACAAUGCACCCGGUGAAAUUGAAAUACCAGUGAAGAUGCUGGUUACCUGCGCCAGGACGGAAAGACCCCAUGGAGCUUUACUCUAGCUUGAUACUGGGAUUCGAUAUUGCAUGUACAGGAUAGGUGGGAGACUAGGAAGUGGUGACGCCAGUUGCCAUGGAGUCAAUGUUGGGAUACCACCCUUGCAGUAUUGGGUUUCUAACCAGCAGCCGUGAUCCGGCUGGGGGACAAUGUCAGGUGGGGAGUUUGACUGGGGCGGUCGCCUCCGAAAGGGUAUCGGAGGCGCUCAAAGGUUCCCUCAGAAUGGUUGGAAACCAUUCGAAGAGUGCAAAGGCAGAAGGGAGCUUGACUGCGACACCGACGGGUGGAGCAGGUACGAAAGUAGGACUUAGUGAUCCGGUGGUAUAAAGUGGGAUUGCCAUCGCUCAACGGAUAAAAGCUACCCUGGGGAUAACAGGCUUAUCACUCCCAAGAGUUCACAUCGACGGAGUGGUUUGGCACCUCGAUGUCGGCUCAUCGCAUCCUGGGGCUGUAGUAGGUCCCAAGGGUUGGGCUGUUCGCCCAUUAAAGCGGUACGCGAGCUGGGUUCAGAACGUCGUGAGACAGUUCGGUCCCUAUCCGGCGCGGGCGGAGGAUAUUUGAGAGGAGCUGUCCUUAGUACGAGAGGACCGGGAUGGACGGACCACUGGUGUAUCUGUUGUCGACCAACGGCAUGGCAGAGUAGCCAAGUCUGGAAGGGAUAAACGCUGAAGGCAUCUAAGCGUGAAGCCCCCCUCAAGAUGAGAUAUCCCAUAACGUCAAGUUAGUAAGACCCCUUGAAGACGACGAGGUAGAUAGGGCAGAGGUGGAAGUGUGGUAACACAUGGAGCUGACUGUUACUAAUAGGUCGAGGGCAUAACCAA